UGGGGAAUUUUGGACAAUGGGCGAAAGCCUGAUCCAGCCAUGCCGCGUGCGGGAAGAAGGCCUUCGGGUUGUAAACCGCUUUUGGCAGGAACGAAACGGCGCGGGCUAAUACCCCGCGUUAAUGACGGUACCUGCAGAAUAAGCACCGGCUAACUACGUGCCAGCAGCCGCGGUAAUACGUAGGGUGCGAGCGUUAAUCGGAAUUACUGGGCGUAAAGCGUACGCAGGCGGCUUGGUAAGACAGAUGUGAAAUCCCCGGGCUUAACCUGGGAACUGCAUUUGUGACUGCCAGGCUCGAGUCUGUCAGAGGGGGGUGGAAUUCCACGUGUAGCAGUGAAAUGCGUAGAGAUGUGGAGGAACACCGAUGGCGAAGGCAGCCCCCUGGGAUGAGACUGACGCUCAUGUACGAAAGCGUGGGGAGCAAACAGGAUUAGAUACCCCCGUAGUCC
RNAcentral lists this ribosomal RNA (449 nucleotides) under uncultured bacterium. RNAcentral describes it as "bacterial SSU rRNA". It matches the Rfam family "Bacterial small subunit ribosomal RNA", at positions 355 to 796 of the family's 1533-position model. The record is from RNAcentral.